AACGAACGCUGGCGGCAUGCCUAACACAUGCAAGUCGAACGAGACCUUCGGGUCUAGUGGCGCACGGGUGCGUAACGCGUGGGAACCUGCCCUUAGGUUCGGAAUAACUCCCCGAAAGGGGUGCUAAUACCGGAUAAUGUCUUCGGACCAAAGAUUUAUCGCCUUUGGAUGGGCCCGCGUUGGAUUAGCUAGUUGGUAGGGUAAAAGCCUACCAAGGCGACGAUCCAUAGCUGGUCUGAGAGGAUGAUCAGCCACACUGGGACUGAGACACGGCCCAGACUCCUACGGGAGGCAGCAGUGGGGAAUAUUGGACAAUGGGCGAAGGCCUGAUCCAGCAAUGCCGCGUGAGUGAUGAAGGCCUUGGGUUGUAAAGCUCUUUUAACCGGGAUGAUAAUGACAGUACCGGGAGAAUAAGCUCCGGCUAACUCCGUG
This 432-nucleotide ribosomal RNA is filed under the name uncultured bacterium. RNAcentral describes it as "partial 16S ribosomal RNA". It matches the Rfam family "Bacterial small subunit ribosomal RNA", at positions 29 to 507 of the family's 1533-position model. The record is from RNAcentral.